This 83-nucleotide transfer RNA is filed under the name Phycisphaerae bacterium SM23_30. RNAcentral describes it as "tRNA-Leu". It matches the Rfam family "tRNA". Rfam says of the family: Transfer RNA (tRNA) molecules are approximately 80 nucleotides in length. Their secondary structure includes four short double-helical elements and three loops (D, anti-codon, and T loops). RNAcentral also lists the same sequence under 2 other names. The record is from RNAcentral. Lineage: Bacteria; Pseudomonadati; Planctomycetota; Phycisphaerae.
GCGAGCGUGGCGGAAUUGGCAGACGCGCAAGAUUUAGGAUCUUGUGUCCUAUGGACGUGGAGGUUCGAAUCCUCUCGCUCGCA